UCUAUAGUAGUACUAAUGUGUCUUCUUCUUCUUACGUCAAGUACACAUUUACAUGUCUUAUGUAUAAUACUACUUGAGUCUUGUUUCCUUGACCUGCCUUUCCCCUGCUUCCACAAUGGAUUUUGAUUUCGAGGAUGAAUCUGAGGGGAGGAAGAGAAGAUCAUCCUAGCACUCACCAAGGAAAAUGCUAUGCAAAUUUCUCCUUUGCUUCUAGUUUGUGGAGCUCCAGGCUGUAGAAUUUGGAUGAUGGGAAGGCUUCAUCUUUUUAGCCAAUUAUAUGUUUGUGCGUGAUUAAAAAUAUGUACUGGUUGUAAUAUAUUAUUACAUAGCAGUACUUUUGAAGCUGUUCUAAAUUCUUGGAUGAUGUGAACUAUGGCACGCUUGUAAUAUAUAUAACAUUCUCAUUUUGGUCGUCA
Long non-coding RNA from Aegilops tauschii subsp. strangulata, 416 nucleotides. RefSeq lists it as uncharacterized. The record is from RefSeq and is a predicted model, not a curated record. NCBI's taxonomy places the organism in Eukaryota, Viridiplantae, Streptophyta, Magnoliopsida, Poales, Poaceae.